GUGAAUCAUCGAAUUUUUGAACGCAAAUUGCACUCUCUUCUGAGAGUAUGCCUGUUUGAGGGUCAGCCUAAGAAAAAAUCUACAUAUUCUCUUUUUCGCGGUUACAUUCGGCGUUGAUUGUGUCAGCUUUAACCUUUGGGUUUUAAGCGUCUUAAAAUUUUCUUUACUAUUCCACGAACGUUUCUAAGAUUUACUUUUUACUCUGUUAAUGUAAUCUAUCUUUGUUAGACAUGUCCGUUCCAUC
This 244-nucleotide unclassified non-coding RNA is filed under the name Glomus sp. RNAcentral describes it as "partial contains 5.8S ribosomal RNA and internal transcribed spacer 2". The stretch from base 1 to 65 matches the Rfam family "5.8S ribosomal RNA", at positions 84 to 154 of the family's 154-position model. Lineage: Eukaryota; Fungi; Glomeromycota; Glomeromycetes; Glomerales; Glomeraceae. The record is from RNAcentral.